UAAUACCAGCUCCCCGAGUGGUGGGGACGAUUAUUGGGCCUAAAGCGUCCGUAGCCGGCUCGGCAAGUCUCCCGUCAAAUCCAGCGAUCUAAUCGUUGGGCCGCGGGAGAUACUGUUGGGCUAGGAGGCGGGAGAGGCUGACGGUAUUCCCGGGGUAGGGGUGAAAUCCUAUAAUCCCGGGAGGACCACCAGUGGCGAAGGCGGUCAGCUAGAACGCGCUCGACGGUGAGGGACGAAAGCUGGGGGAGCGAUCCGGAUUAGAUACCCGGGUAGUCCCAGCCGUAAACGAUGCAGGCUAGGUGUUGGCGUGACCACGAGUUACGCCAGUGCCGCAGGGAAGCUGUUAAGCCUGCCGCCUGGGGAGUACGGUCGCAAGACUG
This 380-nucleotide ribosomal RNA is filed under the name uncultured archaeon. Its description in RNAcentral is "bacterial SSU rRNA". It matches the Rfam family "Archaeal small subunit ribosomal RNA", at positions 471 to 851 of the family's 1478-position model. The record is from RNAcentral.